RNAcentral lists this ribosomal RNA (429 nucleotides) under uncultured bacterium. RNAcentral's name for it is "bacterial SSU rRNA". It matches the Rfam family "Bacterial small subunit ribosomal RNA", at positions 355 to 775 of the family's 1533-position model. The record is from RNAcentral.
UGGGGAAUUGUUCGCAAUGGGCGCAAGCCUGACGACGCAACGCCGCGUGGAGGAUGAAGACCUUCGGGUCGUAAACUCCUUUCGAUCGAGACGAACGGCUCCCGGGUGAACAAUCCGGGAGAGUGACGGUACCGAGAGAAGAAGCCCCGGCUAACUCCGUGCCAGCAGCCGCGGUAAUACGGGGGGGGCAAGCGUUGUUCGGAAUUACUGGGCGUAAAGGGCUCGUAGGCGGCCAACUAAGUCAAACGUGAAAUCCCUCGGCUUAACCGGGGAACUGCGCUUGAUACUGGAUGGCUUGAGAUUGGGAGAGGGAUGCGGAAUUCCAGGUGUAGCGGUGAAAUGCGUAGAUAUCUGGAGGAACACCGGUGGCGAAGGCGACAUCCUGGACCAAUACUGACGCUGAGGAGCGAAAGCCAGGGGAGCAAACGG